Molecule: transfer RNA, 69 nt
Filed under: Marmota monax (woodchuck)
Lineage: Eukaryota; Metazoa; Chordata; Mammalia; Rodentia; Sciuridae
Description: tRNA.Ser
Source: RNAcentral
GGAGGUGUAGAUUAGUGGUAGAGUUUGUGCUUAGAAUGCACAGUGUCACUGGUUAAAUCCCCAGCAUCA